Molecule: long non-coding RNA, 2422 nt
Organism: Cephus cinctus (wheat stem sawfly)
Lineage: Eukaryota; Metazoa; Arthropoda; Insecta; Hymenoptera; Cephidae
Exons: 3
Source: RefSeq, a predicted model, not a curated record
AUAAAAUGGUCCGCGGUCUCUUGGUACGAGAUACCUCUCACUUGAGAGACACGGUUAAACUUAAAUGCCUUACGGUCCUCUUACAAAAUCCUGUUGCAUCCACUUGACAACAAACGGCGAAUGUUCCAGACACGACGCACUCUACGUGGGACCAGAGGGCGCUCAUAAGUGACCCACCUGAUUUUCAUCCACCUCGAUAUACCCGGGAGCGUUAUUUAAACGAGGGUACGGAGCCAGGCAGGAACAAACUGAUGAGGAAGAAGUACGCACGAAGGACGAAAAAAGUGAAAAUGCUCAAAGUGCACGGUAUCUCGCUCGAGAAUGCAUCCUGAGUGGCGUCAUUGUUUUCAUCGACGGUGCAUAGCGACAUACGUUAUACUAACGCACAUAGGAGACCCAGCGCCCCCGUGAGCGUGUGGGAGCGAAGAAACUGGGACGACGGCAACAAGAGCGAUAACGCUCGUCGGUGCGGUUUGCACCGUUGCACUGGGCGUUUGACGUGGGUGCACUGGGACUUGGUCACACCAUUUAGAUGGAGUGGUCAUGCGACGCGAGAAGUCAAAGAUGCCGGUGUGCUCGUCCAAUUUGAAAACAUAAAUAAAUAAAAUAUACCAGCAUAUUAUGGUUGGACUAUACACACGUGCAUAGCAGAACGUAUUUCCUGGCGUCAUUUACCUAUGUUCAGCCAGAACAAUACAGUACAGGGAUGAUGAUCAUUGAGCACACUAGGCGACCUGGUCGUGAAUUUAGUCAUGUACGGCAAUGAAACUAUUUUCCAGUUGGUACUCGUGAUCGCUUACGUAAGUGCGUAAAUGCUUACUGCUACUACUGCUGCUUAUACACGUACUGCGGUGACCCACAUGACUCGGCUGAAACUUCUUAAUGGUAAAUACUGGCGAGGAGUGAAAAGUUUACACGAAGCCAGAGAGAGAGAGAGAGAGAGAGAGAGAGAGGAGAAAAAAUAUGUAAAUGGGGGUGAAUACAACGACCCCGUCCUAAAGGAGGGUUUGCACGAACUCGACCCAAGCCAACUUUGAAGGUGAACAUAGUUAACUGGUCUGGAUAAAUCUGCGGCAAAUCAGGAACGUGAUUUGCAUCAGUAGGGUCGAGAAGAGGAAUCCCUAUUUGCCACGAACGCGUUCGUACAGAUGAGGGGUUGCACUCUAGUUGGUAAUCCUGUCGUCUUUUACAAGCCCGAUGGUGCAUAUGUAAAAUACCGUAAUAAUACAUUAAACCGGAUAUCCACGUACUGCGCAGUACUGCCUUAACGAAUACUGCUCGUAUCAUACUACGUCAGCUAGGUAAGGAUUGUUAAGAAUUUUUAUCCAGCCGAUAUACGUAUUCAAGGCUGUUAAAAGCAAGAGGGACGGAAUGGAUUAAGGAAUGUUAUUUUUCGUUUUAUCAAAUUUCACAUAAGAAGGACCGGCAAAAGAAUGCGGAGCCGUUACUUUAAAGUAAAACGUUACGUGACCAGGCAUAUACCACACAAGCAAGCUAUGCUUGCGAGUUGGUACCACCAGGGUCAUCACGUAUGGUCUCCGCAGUGGACUUGCAGGGUUAAACGCGACAUUUGCAUUCCCUCGACUGUAUUCAGCCAGUAUUACGGUAUGCGUAGGUACGAAUAAAAGUCCACCCGUUAGAUAGGGAGAUACCUAUAUAGACGUAGUUACUGCUAUAAUACUCUACCUAUGUGAAUGUAUAUAUACAGUAACAUACGUAAAGACGAAUAUACAUAUAUACGCAGUGUUAAAUAAAAAGAGGGUUGCCAAGAGGGUUUUAUGCUCGCGUGAGGCAGGUCAGUGACGUUUAGACACCGAGCACUCUCGAUGACUGCGUUGGCUUUUUCCACUGCUCCAUGAAAAGAAAAAAAAGAAAAAAAAAACCCAGAAUGAAGAGACGAAGUGGAAGAAACAACAACAAGAAAUAAGUAAAAAGAAAAAAGAAAAAAAAUACAUUUUUUGUUCUCGUCUAACUCUCACUCGUCUAACGUUGGCCCUAUUCCAGAAUUUGAAUUAAGCGCCUAGACGACGACCGCGUCGACUAAAGGAAAAAAAUAUAUAUAUAUAUGCGAUCAUAAAGGAGCCACUUGAAUUACCGUGGUUGAUAUCACGGCCUUUAAGCCGUUUACGUAGCACCCAGUGCGUACACACGUGGGACCAGUUACACGCUUAUUCCAGACCUGUAAAUACAGAAUGGCCAACCCUGCAGCAUCUUCCAAUGUGCAUCCUCAUCAUCCGCGAAACAACUCGUUCUUAGCAGAUCGCGUCUCGACUAUAGAACCGUCCUUGGUUGACUAUAUGAAACCACGUAUGGUACGUUGCUAGGAUAGUCAUUGACUCCACACGGUAUUUCAUCCAAUCCUCACGAAACUAUGGAAAUGAACAAUUAUCGUAAUUUGUCAAUAAAAAAAAAUUUUCUUCAC